RNAcentral lists this transfer RNA (85 nucleotides) under Sphingobium herbicidovorans NBRC 16415. Its description in RNAcentral is "tRNA-Pro". Lineage: Bacteria; Pseudomonadati; Pseudomonadota; Alphaproteobacteria; Sphingomonadales; Sphingobiaceae. The record is from RNAcentral.
GCCCCCGUGGUGGAACGUAGACACGCCAGCAUAGGAUGCUGGUGGCCUAUAGGCCGUCCCGAUGCGAACUCGGGCGGGGGCACCA